This is a long non-coding RNA of Cryptomeria japonica (Japanese cedar), 1142 nucleotides long. RefSeq lists it as uncharacterized. The record is from RefSeq and is a predicted model, not a curated record. The transcript has 2 exons. NCBI's taxonomy places the organism in Eukaryota, Viridiplantae, Streptophyta, Pinopsida, Cupressales, Cupressaceae.
GCAUCUACAUGGGAGACAUAAGGGGAUAUUAAAAUUAAAAUAAAAUAUUGUAAACCCUAAAGAGGGCGUGGGACUUGAGGAGAAUAUAUAGCCAUUUUGAGCUCAUUUCUCUCAGUGAUGUUAUGAGAUUUUGAUAUCAAUAUUUUGCUGGUUUGGACUUUGCUCAACCAAAGGGCUUUGUGAGGACAAAAAUCUUCACAGAGUGCAUCUUCUUCGAAAGUCAGGUCUUUCUUGAUAGAUUUGCUAGUUCUAUAUAGGGACUACAUUUGGGCUUUAUCUAUGAGAUUUUGGUAGUAUUAUUAGAAAAUUCAUUGUGCAAAUUGAAGGAGCAAGAAGAGAAAAUUUAAUUGAGGAAGAACUGAUAAAUGUAUCUCUCAUUGAUGGUCGCUCCUCUUCCAUAGUUGGUCGUACACAUUCUAACAAGGGUUUGGACUUCCUAGGCUUAGGCGCCUAGGGUUUGGGAGCUGUUGGAAGCAACAAAGGAGACACCUGGGGCUAUGAUUUGUUGGUGUUAGCCUUUGGAGGCAUUGAAGGUGAUGAUUAUGUGUUCUGAAAUCGUAUUGGGAGAGUUGUUUGCUGAUUCGAGGCCAAUAUUGAGCUCAUUUUAUAAUUACAGCAAAUGGGGCGUUACAAAUAAUGUGGUUCCUUCUUCAAGGUUGCCACCAUUGGAUGAGGGGAAGUUGAUUCCAUUUCCUGAGGCUAUUAUUGAUUCAAGAAGCAUACUCUAUGAAAAAUGAUUAUCAAAGAAUACUUGGACAACUAGAAGAAAUUGCUAGUUGAGGAUGCAACGUGGGAAAGUGAACAAAUUUUGUAGCAUCUAGAGUUGCAAUUUUUUGGGGAUAAGCAAUUUUGGAGAGGGAGGAUUGUAAUAUCCCCUUCCUAAGCACUAACAACUUGUUGAUCGUUGUCCCAUUUAAUGAGUUCUUGUAGCCUAAUGAGCUAGGGUUAGGGAACUCUUGGGGGCUUGGCAACCAUUUAGUCCAGCUUAUCUGACAUUAUUGUCUUGAGCUCUAGUUAAGUUUUGCAUUAGGACACUUUUUCGAGGGAGUUCAAACAAUUUGUUUAUUUUUAUUGUUUUUUCUAAGUGACAAUCAGGAUACUGACUUGGUCAAUUGGCAGUGAUACUAUUUCAGGUUUGUCGA